RNAcentral lists this ribosomal RNA (1363 nucleotides) under uncultured organism. RNAcentral's name for it is "bacterial SSU rRNA". It matches the Rfam family "Bacterial small subunit ribosomal RNA", at positions 51 to 1418 of the family's 1533-position model. The record is from RNAcentral.
ACACAUGCAAGUCGAGGGGUAGUUCCGCUUCGGUGGAAACACGACCGGCGCACGGGUGAGUAUCGCGUUUGAAUCUACCUCUAACUGGGGGAUAGCCCGGAGAAAUUCGGAUUAAUACCCCAUAUUGUUAAAAUUUCGCAUGAAAUUUUGACGAGAGCUCCGGCGGUUAGAGAUAAGCAUGCGUGCCAUUAGUUUGUUGGUGAGGUAACGGCUCACCAAGGCAGCGAUGGCUAGGGGGUCUGAGAGGAUGAUCCCCCACACUGGUACUGAGACACGGACCAGACUCCUACGGGAGGCAGCAGUGAGGAAUAUUGGUCAAUGGGCGAAAGCCUGAACCAGCCAUGCCGCGUGCAGGAUGACGGCCCUAUGGGUUGUAAACUGCUUUUCUGCUCCAAGAACCCCACUUACGUGUAAGUGGUUGACGGUAGAGCAGGAAUAAGCAUCGGCUAACUCCGUGCCAGCAGGCGAGGUAAUACGGAGGAUGCAAGCGUUAUCCGGAUUUAUUGGGUUUAAAGGGUGCGCAGGCGGAUUAAUAAGUCAGUAGUGAAAUCCUGCAGCUUAACUGUAGAAUUGCUAUUGAUACUGUUAAUCUUGAGUACAGUUGAGGUAGGCGGAAUGUAUGAUGUAGCGGUGAAAUGCUUAGAUAUCAUACAGAACACCAAUUGCGAAGGCAGCUUACUAAACUGUAACUGACGCUGAGGCACGAAAGCGUGGGAAGCGAACAGGAUUAGAUACCCUGGUAGUCCACGCUGUAAACGAUGAUCACUCGCUGUUGGCAAUACAUCGUCAGUGGCUGAGCAAAAGCAUUAAGUGAUCCACCUGGGGAGUACGUCGGCAACGAUGAAACUCAAAGGAAUUGACGGGGGCCCGCACAAGCGGUGGAACAUGUGGUUUAAUUCGAUGAUACGCGAGGAACCUUACCUGGGCUUAAAUGCAGAACGACGGUUCCCGAAAGGGAUCCUUCUUCGGACGGACUGCAAGGUGCUGCAUGCUUGUCGUCAGCUCGUGCCGUGAGGUGUCGGCUUAAGUCCCAUAACGAGCGCAACCCCUAUUGUUAGUUGCCAGCGAGUAAUGUCGGGGACUCUGACGAAACAGCCGGUGUAAACCGUGGGGAAGAUGGGGAUGACAGUCAAAUCAGCACGGCCAUUAUGUCCAGGGCUACACACGUGUUACAAUGGUCGGUACAGAGGGCAGCUACUUGGCGACAAGUUGCAAAUCUCUGAUACCGGCCUUAGUUCGGAUUGAAGUCUGCAACUCGACUUCAUGAAGCUGGAAUCGCUAGUAAUCGCGCAUCAGCCAUGGCGCGGUGAAUACGUUCCCGGGCAUUGUACACACCGCCCAUCAAGCCAUGGAAGCUGGGGGU